UUGGAGGGCAAGUCUGGUGCCAGCAGCCGCGGUAAUUCCAGCUCCAAUAGCGUAUAUUAAAGUUGUUGCAGUUAAAAAGCUCGUAGUUGAACUUCGGGGUCUACCCAUUGGUCAGGCUUAAUUGUCUGCACUGGUGAGAUGGAUCUCUACCUUCUGAGGAACUUUCAUGCCAUUUAUUUGGUGUGAUGGGAAAUCAGGACUGUUACUUUGAAAAAAUUAGAGUGUUUAAAGCAGACUAUCGUCUGAAUACAUUAGCAUGGAAUAAUGAAAUAGGACGGACUGAUUCUAUUUCGUUGGUUUCUAGGAUCACCGUAAUGAUUAAUAGGGAUAGUUGGGGGCAUUAGUAUUCAAUUGUCAGAGGUGAAAUUCUUGGAUUUAUUGAAGACUAACUACUGCGAAAGCAUUUGCCAAGGAUGUUUUCAUUAAUCAAGAACGAAAGUUAGGGGAUCGAAGACGAUCAGAUACCGUCGUAGUCUUAACCAUAAACUAUGCCGACUAGGGAUCGGACGAAGUUAAUUUUAUAAUGACGCGUUCGGCACCUUACGGGAAACCAAAGUGUUUGGGUUC
This 567-nucleotide ribosomal RNA is filed under the name Diversispora sp. S-MA-3. Its description in RNAcentral is "SSU rRNA". It matches the Rfam family "Eukaryotic small subunit ribosomal RNA", at positions 548 to 1114 of the family's 1831-position model. Lineage: Eukaryota; Fungi; Glomeromycota; Glomeromycetes; Diversisporales; Diversisporaceae. RNAcentral also lists the same sequence under 1 other name. The record is from RNAcentral.